GGACAUUUAUAGAGGAGGACACUCCUACAGAGAUCAGCACAGCACCCCCUCCCAUCGAGUGAAGAAUGUAACUAAAAGAUGGCGCCUCCGCCCAGGACUACACCCUAUCUGAUGACGCUCAGAUCCUGGAGGAAGUUCACCUUACAUGGACACAACCAAUCAGAAGCUACGAGUAUCUAGAUAACGUUAUGCUAAUGAUACAUUUGCUUACAGCAUUAGUCGCUCACCUAUAAAACCCCCCAUGUAUCCGGAACCAAUAAAGAGAGUAUCUUCAAUCUGA
Long non-coding RNA from Rana temporaria (common frog), 280 nucleotides. RefSeq lists it as uncharacterized. The transcript has 2 exons. The record is from RefSeq and is a predicted model, not a curated record. Lineage: Eukaryota; Metazoa; Chordata; Amphibia; Anura; Ranidae.